UGGGGAAUUUUGGACAAUGGGGGAAACCCUGAUCCAGCCAUCCCGCGUGUGCGAUGAAGGCCUUCGGGUUGUAAAGCACUUUUGGCAGGAAAGAAACGUCAUGGGUUAAUACCCCGUGAAACUGACGGUACCUGCAGAAUAAGCACCGGCUAACUACGUGCCAGCAGCCGCGGUAAUACGUAGGGUGCAAGCGUUAAUCGGAAUUACUGGGCGUAAAGCGUGCGCAGGCGGUUCGGAAAGAAAGAUGUGAAAUCCCAGAGCUCAACUUUGGAACUGCAUUUUUAACUACCGGGCUAGAGUGUGUCAGAGGGGGGUGGAAUUCCGCGUGUAGCAGUGAAAUGCGUAGAUAUGCGGAGGAACACCGAUGGCGAAGGCAGCCUCCUGGGAUAACACUGACGAUCAUGCACGAAAGCGUGGGGGGCAAACAGG
This 429-nucleotide ribosomal RNA is filed under the name Acidobacteriota bacterium. Its description in RNAcentral is "Acidobacteria bacterium partial 16S ribosomal RNA". It matches the Rfam family "Bacterial small subunit ribosomal RNA", at positions 355 to 776 of the family's 1533-position model. The record is from RNAcentral. Lineage: Bacteria; Pseudomonadati; Acidobacteriota.